CCUCAAUAACCCCUCACGCCAACGCAUAGAUAGAGCCUCUCAAGCCGCUUGGCAACUAGUAGGGCCUCACCUGUCACCAAACAAGCAUAAUACUUUCGCCAUCCGGCCUAGCUAGCCUGCCAGUACAAUUUGGUGGUUCUAUAUACUAAUUAUUGUUUUAUUUAUAGUAUGUCUCAGGAAGGGGUAGAGGAUUUCUCCCUGCCUAGCACCCCGGCUAGAGCUGUCACUCCCACACAAGGAGGAGAGCUAGCUAAUCCAGCAUCAAUUAGAUCCUGGACAAUCCCGCGCAUAACCACGGAAUUAAGGAGACGACAAAUCCCCUACCCCGCUACAGCAAGGAAGGCAGAACUUUUCAAACUGCUACGCACGUCAACCAAUAACAUGGAAGCCGGGGAAGGAUCUAGCCAGUCCAACCCAGGGGACAUACAUGCCAUGUUAUCCUCACUCAUGGCAUCCAUGGGCAAGGUCAACUCCA
Molecule: non-coding RNA, 475 nt
Organism: Pelobates cultripes (western spadefoot toad)
Lineage: Eukaryota; Metazoa; Chordata; Amphibia; Anura; Pelobatidae
Source: the annotation of a GenBank genome assembly